Molecule: ribosomal RNA, 253 nt
Filed under: uncultured bacterium
Lineage: Bacteria
Description: partial 16S ribosomal RNA
Rfam family: Bacterial small subunit ribosomal RNA
Source: RNAcentral
UACAGAGGGUGCAAACGUUGUUCGGAUUUACUGGGCGUAAAGCGCGUGUAGGCGGCUUGGCAAGUCGGAUGUGAAAGCCCACGGCUCAACCGUGGAAGCGCAUCCGAUACUGCUUCGCUCGAGUCUCGGAGAGGAAGGUGGAAUGCUUGGUGUAGAGGUGAAAUUCGUAGAUAUCAAGCAGAACACCUGCGGCGAAGGCGGCCUUCUGGACGAUGACUGACGCUGAGACGCGAAAGCGUGGGGAGCAAACAGG